This 226-nucleotide unclassified non-coding RNA is filed under the name Hevea brasiliensis (rubber tree). The record is from RNAcentral. Lineage: Eukaryota; Viridiplantae; Streptophyta; Magnoliopsida; Malpighiales; Euphorbiaceae.
GAAAAAAAAAAAACUGCAAACAUGGCAUGUUUAGGCUUAUUGUCCUCUAGAAAAUUUAGAAAUCACCUAAUAUCAGUGAAAAAUAUGAAUUGCCUUUACAGUAAUCUCCUAAUGUGUAAAUUUUCAUCUUCAUGCCUCAAUUAUUAUUUGCUGAAUGCACUUUUUUCCUUGAAGAAAAUUUUGUAGUUCUGUUUGCAUCAUGAGCAACUAAAUAAUUUAGUUUCAU